GACGAACGCUGGCGGCGUGCCUAAUACAUGCAAGUAGAACGCUGAAGAGAGGAGCUUGCUCUUCUUGGAUGAGUUGCGAACGGGUGAGUAACGCGUAGGUAACCUGCCUUGUAGCGGGGGAUAACUAUUGGAAACGAUAGCUAAUACCGCAUAACAAUGGAUGACACAUGUCAUUUAUUUGAAAGGGGCAAUUGCUCCACUACAAGAUGGACCUGCGUUGUAUUAGCUAGUAGGUGAGGUAAUGGCUCACCUAGGCGACGAUACAUAGCCGACCUGAGAGGGUGAUCGGCCACACUGGGACUGAGACACGGCCCAGACUCCUACGGGAGGCAGCAGUGGGGAAUCUUCGGCAAUGGGGGCAACCCUGACCGAGCAACGCCGCGUGAGUGAAGAAGGUUUUCGGAUCGUAAAGCUCUGUUGUAAGUCAAGAACGGGUGUGAGAGUGGAAAGUUCACACUGUGACGGUAGCUUACCAGAAAGGGACGGCUAACUACGUG
Molecule: ribosomal RNA, 497 nt
Filed under: uncultured bacterium
Lineage: Bacteria
Description: partial 16S ribosomal RNA
Rfam family: Bacterial small subunit ribosomal RNA
Source: RNAcentral